UUAAGCGACUAAGCGUACACGGUGGAUGCCCUGGCAGUCAGAGGCGAUGAAGGGCGUGCUAAUCUGCGAUAAGCGCCGGUAAGGUGAUAUGAACCGUUAUAACCGGCGAUACCCGAAUGGGGAAACCCAGUGUGACUCGUCACACUAUCAUUAACUGAAUCCAUAGGUUAAUGAGGCGAACCGGGGGAACUGAAACAUCUAAGUACCCCGAGGAAAAGAAAUCAACCGAGAUUCCCCCAGUAGCGGCGAGCGAACGGGGAGGAGCCCAGAGCCUGAAUCAGCAUGUGUGUUAGUGGAAGCGUCUGGAAAGGCGCGCGAUACAGGGUGACAGCCCCGUACACAAAAGCGCAUGUGCUGUGAGCUCGAUGAGUAGGGCGGGACACGUGGUAUCCUGUCUGAAUAUGGGGGGACCAUCCUCCAAGGCUAAAUACUCCUGACUGACCGAUAGUGAACCAGUACCGUGAGGGAAAGGCGAAAAGAACCCCGGCGAGGGGAGUGAAAAAGAACCUGAAACCGUGUACGUACAAGCAGUGGGAGCACAGGUUUACCUGUGUGACUGCGUACCUUUUGUAUAAUGGGUCAGCGACUUAUAUUCUGUAGCAAGGUUAACCGCAUAGGGGAGCCGGAGGGAAACCGAGUCUUAACCGGGCGUUAAGUUGCAGGGUAUAGACCCGAAACCCGGUGAUCUAGCCAUGGGCAGGUUGAAGGUUGGGUAACACUAACUGGAGGACCGAACCGACUAAUGUUGAAAAAUUAGCGGAUGACCUGUGGCUGGGGGUGAAAGGCCAAUCAAACCGGGAGAUAGCUGGUUCUCCCCGAAAGCUAUUUAGGUAGCGCCUCGUGAAUUCAUCUCCGGGGGUAGAGCACUGUUUCGGCUAGGGGGCCAUCCCGGCUUACCAACCCGAUGCAAACUGCGAAUACCGGAGAAUGUUAUCACGGGAGACACACGGCGGGUGCUAACGUCCGUCGUGAAGAGGGAAACAACCCAGACCGCCAGCUAAGGUCCCAAAGUCAUGGUUAAGUGGGAAACGAUGUGGGAAGGCCCAGACAGCCAGGAUGUUGGCUUAGAAGCAGCCAUCAUUUAAAGAAAGCGUAAUAGCUCACUGGUCGAGUCGGCCUGCGCGGAAGAUGUAACGGGGCUAAACCAUGCACCGAAGCUGCGGCAGCGAACGUAUCACUUAAAGCGAUUCAGCGGGUUACGAUUGACGGAGCGAAGCGACGUCAAAGCGUAUACAAAGUCGAGUCGGUUUAAGGAUACGUUCGUUGGGUAGGGGAGCGUUCUGUAAGCCUGUGAAGGUGGCCUGUGAGGGUUGCUGGAGGUAUCAGAAGUGCGAAUGCUGACAUAAGUAACGAUAAAGCGGGUGAAAAGCCCGCUCGCCGGAAGACCAAGGGUUCCUGUCCAACGUUAAUCGGGGCAGGGUGAGUCGACCCCUAAGGCGAGGCCGAAAGGCGUAGUCGAUGGGAAACGGGUUAAUAUUCCCGUACUUGGUGUUACUGCGAAGGGGGGACGGAGAAGGCUAUGUUGGCCGGGCGACGGUUGUCCCGGUUUAAGCGUGUAGGUGUGUGUUCCAGGUAAAUCCGGUUCACUUUAACACUGAGGCGUGACGACGAGGCACUACGGUGCUGAAGCAACAAAUGCCCUGCUUCCAGGAAAAGCCUCUAAGCAUCAGGUAACAUCAAAUCGUACCCCAAACCGACACAGGUGGUCAGGUAGAGAAUACCAAGGCGCUUGAGAGAACUCGGGUGAAGGAACUAGGCAAAAUGGUGCCGUAACUUCGGGAGAAGGCACGCUGACACGUAGGUGAAGUGAUUUACUCAUGGAGCUGAAGUCAGUCGAAGAUACCAGCUGGCUGCAACUGUUUAUUAAAAACACAGCACUGUGCAAACACGAAAGUGGACGUAUACGGUGUGACGCCUGCCCGGUGCCGGAAGGUUAAUUGAUGGGGUCAGCGCAAGCGAAGCUCCUGAUCGAAGCCCCGGUAAACGGCGGCCGUAACUAUAACGGUCCUAAGGUAGCGAAAUUCCUUGUCGGGUAAGUUCCGACCUGCACGAAUGGCGUAAUGAUGGCCAGGCUGUCUCCACCCGAGACUCAGUGAAAUUGAACUCGCUGUGAAGAUGCAGUGUACCCGCGGCAAGACGGAAAGACCCCGUGAACCUUUACUAUAGCUUGACACUGAACAUUGAGCCUUGAUGUGUAGGAUAGGUGGGAGGCUUUGAAGCGUGGACGCCAGUCUGCGUGGAGCCAACCUUGAAAUACCACCCUUUAAUGUUUGAUGUUCUAACGUGGACCCGUAAUCCGGGUUGCGGACAGUGUCUGGUGGGUAGUUUGACUGGGGCGGUCUCCUCCUAAAGAGUAACGGAGGAGCACGAAGGUUGGCUAAUCCUGGUCGGACAUCAGGAGGUUAGUGCAAUGGCAUAAGCCAGCUUGACUGCGAGCGUGACGGCGCGAGCAGGUGCGAAAGCAGGUCAUAGUGAUCCGGUGGUUCUGAAUGGAAGGGCCAUCGCUCAACGGAUAAAAGGUACUCCGGGGAUAACAGGCUGAUACCGCCCAAGAGUUCAUAUCGACGGCGGUGUUUGGCACCUCGAUGUCGGCUCAUCACAUCCUGGGGCUGAAGUAGGUCCCAAGGGUAUGGCUGUUCGCCAUUUAAAGUGGUACGCGAGCUGGGUUUAGAACGUCGUGAGACAGUUCGGUCCCUAUCUGCCGUGGGCGCUGGAGAACUGAGGGGGGCUGCUCCUAGUACGAGAGGACCGGAGUGGACGCAUCACUGGUGUUCGGGUUGUCAUGCCAAUGGCACUGCCCGGUAGCUAAAUGCGGAAGAGAUAAGUGCUGAAAGCAUCUAAGCACGAAACUUGCCCCGAGAUGAGUUCUCCCUGAGACUUUAGGUCUCCUGAAGGAACGUUGAAGACGACGACGUUGAUAGGCCGGGUGUGUAAGCGCAGCGAUGCGUUGAGCUAACCGGUACUAAUGAACCGUGAGGCUUAACCUU
This 2987-nucleotide ribosomal RNA is filed under the name Salmonella enterica subsp. enterica. RNAcentral describes it as "bacterial LSU rRNA". It matches the Rfam family "Bacterial large subunit ribosomal RNA". The record is from RNAcentral. Lineage: Bacteria; Pseudomonadati; Pseudomonadota; Gammaproteobacteria; Enterobacterales; Enterobacteriaceae.